UGUGUUAGGUUUUCCUGCAAA
This 21-nucleotide non-coding RNA is filed under the name Caenorhabditis elegans. The record is from RNAcentral. Lineage: Eukaryota; Metazoa; Nematoda; Chromadorea; Rhabditida; Rhabditidae.